Molecule: ribosomal RNA, 253 nt
Filed under: uncultured bacterium
Lineage: Bacteria
Description: partial 16S ribosomal RNA
Rfam family: Bacterial small subunit ribosomal RNA
Source: RNAcentral
UACGUAGGGGGCGAGCGUUGUCCGGAAUUACUGGGCGUAAAGGGUGCGUAGGCGGCCGACUAAGUCAGAUGUGAAAUACCACGGCUCAACUGUGGGGGUGCAUUUGAAACUGAUUGGCUUGAGUGCAGGAGAGGAAAGUGGAAUUCCUAGUGUAGCGGUGAAAUGCGUAGAGAUUAGGAGGAACACCAGUGGCGAAGGCGACUUUCUGGACUGUAACUGACGCUGAGGCACGAAAGCGUGGGGAGCGAACAGG